GACGAACGCUGGCGGCGUGCUUAACACAUGCAAGUCGAGCGGUAAGGCCCUUUCGGGGGUACACGAGCGGCGAACGGGUGAGUAACACGUGGGUGACCUGCCCUCAGCUCUGGGAUAAGCCUGGGAAACUGGGUCUAAUACUGGAUAUGACUCCACGGUGCAUGUCGUGGGGUGGAAAGCCUUGUGCGGCUGAGGAUGGGCCCGCGGCCUAUCAGCUUGUUGGGG
Molecule: ribosomal RNA, 225 nt
Filed under: uncultured bacterium
Lineage: Bacteria
Description: partial 16S ribosomal RNA
Rfam family: Bacterial small subunit ribosomal RNA
Source: RNAcentral